GUGGGGCUUGUGGAUAUGGGAAUCUGUACAGCCAAGGUUAUGGAACAAACACUGCAGCUUUGAGUACUGCUCUGUUCAACAAUGGGUUAAGCUGUGGGUCUUGCUAUGAGAUUAAGUGUGUUAAUGACAAUCAAUGGUGUCUGCCUGGCUCCAUCAUGGUCACUGCAACUAACUUCUGUCCACCCAACAGUGAUGGAGGCUGGUGUAAUCCUCCCAACCAGCACUUUGACCUCUCCCAGCCUAUUUUCCAACACAUUGCUCAAUACAAAGCUGGCAUAGUCCCUGUUUCCUACAGGAGGUGAACCCUCUAAUCCUUGCUACAGGCUCGGUCGAAAUAAGUCACUUAUUUCCAGAAAAAAAUAUAUGAAUAUUUAUUUUUUAUGGAAAUAAGUGACUUAUUUAUGCAAAUAAGACAUAUAAAAUAUUUAUUAAAAAAUUUGACACUAACAAAUAUUUUGUAAAUGCGAAACCCAAAAUAAGUAUCUUUUUUAUAAAAUAAGGUCAGUCAAACAAGCUGAUACUAAUGAAAUCUUGGUUUUGGUUUGAACAGGGUACCAUGCCAGAGGAGGGGAGGCAUAAGGUUUCAAAUAAAUGGUCAUUCUUACUUCAACUUGGUUUUAGUCACAAAUGUUGGUGGUGCUGGAGAUGUUCAUGCUGUUUCAAUCAAAGGAUCAAGGACUGGUUGGCAACCAAUGUCAAGAAACUGGGGACAGAACUGGCAGAGCAACAACUAUCUCAAUGGUCAAUCUCUGUCUUUCAAGGUCACCACAAGUGAUGGAAGAACUGUUNACUGAUAUAUCAGAUGCGAUUUAUAUAUAAUUUUGAUGUCCAACUCGGUGUCUCCAUUAUUGUUUUCAUAUCAAUUAACUUUGUUUGAGAAAAUUCAACAUAUUAACAUGCAAAUAUAUAUAAUAAAAAGAACUAAAACAAAACCAAUCUUUCACACAUUUUAUUUCGCAUAAUCCUUGUAUAACUCACUUCUUAAAAUAAAAUAAUUAAUCAAGAAAAUUAUAUAAUAUAUUAUUUAAUAGGCUAUCUAUUACAUUAUUUAUCUUUAAUAAAUAUAUUAAUUAUUAUAAAUUAAAAUCAAACUUUUAAUUGAAAUAAAAAAACCGGAUCGGAUUGAUUUAGAUAUCCAGUAUUAAUGAGCGAAUCCAAAUUAAUAAAAAGUACUAUAAUUUAUAACCGCCCAAAUUCAACCAGCUGAUGUCCAACAUCAGUCAUAUACUAAAUUAAAACCCUGGAUAUGUCACACGGAUGAUUAUAAUACAUGCUCGUAGCGGUGGUUAACAAGUCGAAUCGUUAGAACAAAGUAGUGGACUACGCCCAUGAAAUACAAUCAUCACCCAUGUGCAGGUACUACUCUGUUUUUGUUUUCUACACUAUGCUCCAUUUAUUAAAUGAACGAGAGUCGUCUAUUUUGAACGCACCAAAAAUGUUUAUUUGUUUGAAUUAAUUGUGCAAGGCCACUAACACGUCUCUUGCCGUUGUGUUAUGCGAAUUAAAUACAACAACUUUUACCAAAUCAUAAUUAAUGCUUUAGAGAAAGCAUGCAAGGGCCAUUCGAAUAUACAGUAUGUCGUGGUGACCUGCUUGUUGCGACUAAGGGACAGUGCAAUGCAUCUUGUUAUUUGGGUUUUCUUAUGUCCUGAAUUAGAAUUUUUUAAGAAGUUAUAUAUAAUAUUUUAAUUUUAAUAAUAGUUCUAAAUUUAUUUUAUAAAUAAUUUUCUCAUCUAAUUUUUUAAAAAUAAUAUAGUAUACUUAAACUUUAAAUAAAAGUAAAAAUAUAAUCAUGAUACAUACAUAAUAUUUAAAAUUUGUACUUAAAUUUAACUUCAUAAAAAUUACAAAUAAAAGGAAAUAAAAAUAAGAAGCAGAGUUAAAAUCCAGUCAGCCCACAUUUUAUAUUUACAUGUAACAAAAUGAAAAAUCCAAUAAUACAGUAAUGUUACACAUGUUUGAAGAACGCAGUUGGAGAGAGAGAAAUGAUUGUCUAAACAAUUUUAUAUCAAAUUAUCUACAAAAUUCAGCAAAAUAUAUAAGUUGCUACCGAUAUUCGCAGCGACUCAUUUAAAUCAUUAAAAUAUUAUUACAUCAUUUCUUUAACUCGGUUUCCCAAACUCAAGGAUUAGUUGUUGUUAAUUUAUACGAUGUAUCAUAUCCCACACUUUCAAAAUAUAAUACAUAAACCGACUCGUUUCACUUGAGCAAAUAAUGAGCAAAUAACUUUAUCUUUUUAUUUUUUCUAUCCCAGUUGAAGUUACAUUUGAGAUAGUACGAAAAGUUUGAGUUGAAAUAUCAGUGUCUUCUUUAAUUUCAUUCGAGUUAGCGGAAUUUUGUUACCACAUUAACAAUUUCGUCACCACAUUAGCAUUGCGGUCAAAUUUUAUUGAAAAUCUUAACAGAAUGAUGUAUAAUACUGUAAUAUUUAGUGACUUAAAUGAGUCAUCGUGUAAAUCGGGUAGUUAUAUGAUAUAUUUUAUCGAGUUCGGUGAUAAACAUGAUAUAAAACUCUUGGCAAAAUAUUACAAUGUAAAUUUUCUUGGCGAGUGAUGUUUACUGAAACAGUGAUAUGUGUAAUUAUUAUAAAAUUAAAUUAUACUUAGAAUAAAUUUUCUGUUUCGGUAAUGCAGCUGGCCAACGUAAUUGUCCUAAGAAUUUUUUUUGUCUUUUUUACGUAUUUUACUGGCAAUUCAUAUUGUAAUCCGAUACAUAUUUGAUCCGUAAAAUAAAUAUUUAUAUUAAUUUUUUGAGGCUGAGGUUGAUUUUUGGGUUGAACCAAAAUCAAUUUGCGAAAGGAUUGUAGUGCAAAAUGUACUUCUAUGUAAUUGCGCGUCAUAAAUCCUAUAUCAUCUGUAUUAAGAAGAAAUCAUUUAGCGAAAGAGAAUCUUUGUGUACAAACGGUACUUCAAACUUGAACUAACAUGAAGAAAUUAAUGAAACUUUUUUAUCUUUUGAGUUGUUCUGCCGAUCAGUCGUUCAAGAUUUUUGGUCUCUACUUGGGAUUUUUGAUGUAUACAAAGAAGAUAAUGAAGUAAAAGUAGUGCGAAAAGUGAAAAAGUGACGAGAUUUAUUGAUUAUAUUGAGUAAAUUUUUAAAUGUAAAAAAUUGGAUAAGACAACUCAAAAAGAAGAAAAAGGUAAAAAAAUAACGGGAAAAGAUCAGUGUUAGUAAGCAAUUAGGCCAAGCAAGGGAUGAUUUUUUUCUGUGACAUCUAAGAAACGGAAGAGUUGGAAGCAAAGAAUUAAAACACAAAGAAAAAAGCGAGAGUUGCAGCAAAUGGUCGUUGCUUGCAUGUGCGCCUCGAUAUGUUUCUAACCAUCACCCAGAUAUCACAUGCCCCACUCCUAGAUUUACUACCCACACUUUUCAUUUCACACUCCAUACUCCUCUACCUCCAAUAAUUUCACAUUCCAUCUUUACCCUCACAUUGUUGCCUCCCUCACUUACAUUCCCAAGGGCAAUUUGGUCCAAAUAUUCUUCAACAUCCCAAAGAGAGUAUUUUGUUAUUUACAUUUUCUCCCUCCAAUUUCUCCUAUAAAUAAACCUUAGCAUUUGCAAUUUCUAAGCAUCUUCCUACACUCUCCACACUCACAUUACUCAUUCUCCUUUAAGCCACUUAUCUCCUCUCCUUUCCUCAGCUUCUAAUCAAAAUGUAAUCAUCUUGUCUCCUAAUAUAUUCUUACAUGCUACAUUUGUGUACUUGUUUAUAUUUUUUUAUGCCAUGCUGAAUGUGUCUUGACAUUUAUGUGCAGGAAAAUGGUUAAUCUUGGAAUGUUCUUGGUGGGCUUUGUUGCAUUAAUGGCCUCCUCUGUUCAAGGAUAUGGAGGUUGGUCUGGUGCUCAUGCCACCUUCUAUGGUGGGGGUGAUGCCUCAGGCACAAUGGGUAUGUCAAAAAUUAGAUAAAAACUAAAAAUAAUUUUUAACUUUUUUUUUUUGGCCUUUCUCUAAUGAUUUGGUGUUGGGGACUAUUAUAGGUGGGGCUUGUGGAUAUGGGAAUCUGUACAGCCAAGGUUAUGGAACAAACACUGCAGCUUUGAGUACUGCUCUGUUCAACAAUGGGUUAAGCUGUGGGUCUUGCUAUGAGAUUAAGUGUGUUAAUGACAAUCAAUGGUGUCUGCCUGGCUCCAUCAUGGUCACUGCAACUAACUUCUGUCCACCCAACAGUGAUGGAGGCUGGUGUAAUCCUCCCAACCAGCACUUUGACCUCUCCCAGCCUAUUUUCCAACACAUUGCUCAAUACAAAGCUGGCAUAGUCCCUGUUUCCUACAGGAGGUGAACCCUCUAAUCCUUGCUACAGGCUCGGUCGAAAUAAGUCACUUAUUUCCAGAAAAAAAUAUAUGAAUAUUUAUUUUUUAUGGAAAUAAGUGACUUAUUUAUGCAAAUAAGACAUAUAAAAUAUUUAUUAAAAAAUUUGACACUAACAAAUAUUUUGUAAAUGCGAAACCCAAAAUAAGUAUCUUUUUUAUAAAAUAAGGUCAGUCAAACAAGCUGAUACUAAUGAAAUCUUGGUUUUGGUUUGAACAGGGU
This 4530-nucleotide long non-coding RNA is filed under the name Daucus carota (carrot). Its description in RNAcentral is "long non-coding RNA (DCAR_LNC005772)". Lineage: Eukaryota; Viridiplantae; Streptophyta; Magnoliopsida; Apiales; Apiaceae. The record is from RNAcentral.